RNAcentral lists this long non-coding RNA (1693 nucleotides) under Fukomys damarensis (Damara mole-rat). RNAcentral describes it as "lncRNA (ENSFDAG00000023997.1)". The record is from RNAcentral. Lineage: Eukaryota; Metazoa; Chordata; Mammalia; Rodentia; Bathyergidae.
UCCAGUGCUGAGGCAUUUGACCAUCUUGAUAAGCGGGUUAUGGGAGGAAACUUAGGGGCUGUUCAGGGCAGGCAGUGUGGGCCCCUCAGGACCUCAGCUCAGAGGCAGCUGGAGAGCUCGCUGGGGCAGGCAGGUGAGCAAUCCCAGCGCCUGCCUUCUCAGCCAUGGUCGGCAGAAGCAGGCGCUCCCUGGAGGAAUCCCCGGGCCGGCUGAGAGGCUUUUCUCAGGCGGUUUCUGUUCCCGCUGCUGGAGCCUGAUGUGUCGGUGAGGGCAGCUGGAGCCCACCCGCGUGGCCUGAGCUCAUCUGCACUGGUGUCGCCAUUCGCCCGCCUGACCCGAGUGCAGAAGCUGGGCGCUACAGCCACACCCCUGAGAGUCGGGCACCGGAGUGGGAGCCAAGGGGAGGGAGGAGCAGGGCAGGCCCAGCAGGGCAGCAGCUGAGGCAGGAGGAGACCCGGGAACAGAGGAGGGAGAGGGGAGCCCAGGGAACGCAGGAUGUGGCUCCCAGGAGUGCCAAAGACAGAAUUAUGAGUCCUCUUUCACAAGUCCCGAUGGGCUCUGUUCACAGCUGGGCGCCCCAGAGACUGCAGAAGAGGGGUCCAGGAUGCCCUGUCUCCCAUGGCUGGAGAAGAGGAAGUGGUCUAGAGAAACGGAGAUUGCAGAUCUUCCGCCUCCGGGAUUCAGGAAAGGAGCCUCUCCUGCUCGGCCCCCACGGCCCUGCGGGUGGGUGCCAGUGUCCAGCGAAGAGAAUGGAAGGCGGACAAAGCCGUGGCUGCGUCUUCUGUCUUCCCCCUUGACUGCGAUGUCUCAGAAAUCAGAGCAAACUUCGGCGGGACUCAGCAACUCCCACAGCAACUCCCUGAGCAGCGAACCUGAAACACAGGCAGCUACGGGGAGUCGUGUGUCGUGCUGUUUCUCUGGGUUCGUCCACGCUCUCUGGGGACUCUGAAGAGGACAGGGGUGACCCCCUUCUUCUGAGGCAAACGCGGUCCUACAGUGGGAACUCGGAGCUGAGCGCGCCUGCACGGACCUCGCUCCACACAGCAUAAACCGCAGCUCAGAAGCAGCCAGCAUCUUCCCUUCCUGGGCCUGGCUGUCGCUGCUCUGGCUAAAAUGACCUAACUGGGUUCUUGCUAAAAACAAACAAAACGCCCAGGAUGUAGCUCGUGAUGUGCCUGGCAAGUGCAAGGCCCUGAGUUCGAUCCUCCGUUAAAAUAAAAAGGAAACAAAAUCACUUGUAUUUAUUUUAAGGGGCACACAUAGCGGCGAGGAGAGUGAGCAGUCCGGCCUUGCUAAGACUCUGCCAGGGAAAGGGCAGCCCUGGGGGCCACGUCCCUGGGACCCCGCCUGUGGGAGCUGUGGCCCUCGGUGUGUGGGGGUGACUUGCUCUUAGCCAGCAGAUGGGCUGUGGAAGGUCAAUCCGUGAUUAGGUUACAUCACAUAAAAACCUUUCUUUCUUCUUCUUUUUUUUUUUUGGUGCUGUAUGGGGCAUUGAGUCCAGCCUGGGGCCUUAGCAGGGAGCUACACUCCCUGCACCUGACCUCUUCACCACACCUUUGUCUUUUAAAUUUUGAGGCCAAGUGGCCUAGGCUGGGCUGAAACUUGUGAUCUUCCUGUCUCAGCCUCCUAGAACAUGUGAAGACAGGCGUGUGACCCUGUCUCGUAGCAGACUUCAGACUCUCUUGGCUUGCCG